RNAcentral lists this long non-coding RNA (471 nucleotides) under Homo sapiens (human). RNAcentral describes it as "HSALNT0354385". The record is from RNAcentral. Lineage: Eukaryota; Metazoa; Chordata; Mammalia; Primates; Hominidae.
CUUCCUUUUUCCAAAGAAGGCAACACUUACUGUUCCUGGGGGUUUGACAUGGACACAUCUUUUUGGAGGCCACCAUCUAGCCCACUGAAGAGAGUAAGGGCCUGAUGAUCUGGUGGGUGAGGUGCAGCCAGAGAGAUCAGUCAGUGGAAUUGUGAGUCAUCUUCACCCCUGUGCUUCUGAGGCUGACCUUGAACAUCAUCCCUCUCUUCAACCAGACACCCACUCUGAUCUUGAAUGGCAAAGCUCCUUCUUGGCCCUGCCCCUCACACAAAUGUGCAAUGAAAUACCACCUUCUAAAGCCUUCCUUCACCUUUUAAUCAAAGAGCCAUUUGCUGAUAUUCAUGAAGCCUCAAAGCCUCUUUCUUUAGCAGAUGAUUAUUAAUGGAAUUUAUACUUGUGUGUGUCUGUAUGUUAAAUGAUUGCCGUCUUGCAGAAAACAACUUGGAGGGCCCGCGUCUUCCCGUGUCUACA